GUGGAGUGUGGGUGCCUGCUAGUGACACGGACAGCCGCCGCCGAGCAGUCUUUGGCUAACGGACAUCAGGUUUCAAUCAUGAAGUUUGUGGUGGAGCAUGUGAGCAAGAAUUGAGGACGGCUAGGCAGGCUGGGUGGUCUUCGCAGCCAACCUGAUAGUAUCCACACCAUUCCACUCUCUUAUUUCCACCAAGAGAGGCAGUGCACCACAUCUCACACAGGAUGUGCUGCACCGGUGGCAUGGCGUCAAGGGAACUGCCUCUUUGUAUCCCUGUCCAGCACUGAAUUGAACACAUGACGGUGCUCCAGAGUUUCAAGAAGGGAGUGGCACACACACACUGCUGCACUCCAAGUAAGGUUUUUGGAGAUCCAGCAGCACAUAGGGCCAUUUCAAGACAUUUAGAGGCCCCAAGCCAAAUGGACAUGGAGGGCCCCACCUCUCCUUGGCACACAACCCAGGACCACAGCAAAAACCCAAAGCCUUCCCAUCCCAUCCUGGCCACCAUCCAAAGCCUACAAGCCUAUAAGAACCACAGCAAAGAUACAUUGUUUGAGAUCACACUUUAUUAAAUACAACUAUGAAUUAUAUUUAAAAAAUCUAAAGGGGCACUCAGACAGUUUGUCAUUGCAUUUAAUUCUUAAUCAGUCACUGUCUGGAGGCCCCUGGCCAGCUCAAGGCCCCAAGCAAUUGCAAGGUUUGCUUGCCUUGUGACGGGCCUGUGGGCACACUGCACACUGCUUUCAUAAACGUGUGUGCAGAGCGUAUAACUGAGAGAGGCAAGGAUGGUGGAUGUUUCAACAUUCACAGCAUCAUUAGUUCAUGCUUUCUUUUUUGUGGAAAGUGGUGAACACAGUUUUAACCAAAGGAUUAUAUGUCAUCAUUUAUAUUCAUAGAUUUCAUGACUUAACAUUAUGUUGAAUUUUGUGCAUCAAAUCACUUCAUUACAUGUAAGCGUAUAUUAAGCUACAAGGAGUAACGGUUUAUGAAAUUUGUAAUGUAUAAAAAGUGACUUAUAAGAGAUCUUGCAUUAUGAAGAUUUGUUUAAAGGUGUUUGUUUAUUAGUAUGAUCUAGUUGUGUCAGUCUUAACAGUCCAGAUUGUACAGAUGGAAUUUCAGUCAACACUGCAAGGUGUGUGUGUGUGUGUGCAGCUUUGUGGGCAAGUGUGCCAGUCAUUCCUUGAUGUCAAUGUCUUUCAUUUAUGGAAAAAAUGUUGUGUAAUUAGGUUUAUAUACAUUUUUGAGUGAAAAUAUUUAGACAUUAAAUAGAAAGUUUCUCACCUUUUUUGAGCUUUGCUGUUACUGUUCUGUGUAAGAUUUCAGGGGCCGUAUUCUACAAUGAUAGCUAGAUGUGACCAUAGCGAGACAAAAUGGUACAUUUUAGACACAACUCCCUCUAUGACAGGCUCUAACCUUGUGUCUCAUCAUAUGCCAAGACAGGUUUCACCUUGUUGUAGCUUUGCCAACUGCCAUCUUGUCAACGUGAUGGGAUUUUGGCUGCAUGUACCAUAGCAUGAUUCCUGACAGUUUAUAUUAUUAAUUAAUGAUAAAUAUCUGUAAUGAUGACUAAAUAAUGUCAUUUGAUGCAGCAAUUUACCAUUAUAGAUGACUGUCGAGAGGGUUAUGAUCAGUUUUCCAAAACUCAAACAAACCUUGCCCCACGUGGCCUGCAUGUAUCAUGUGUGAGGCGAUCGGGCGUAAUCUUCUGUUUGUCAUGUUUCUUAUGUUUGGAUACAGUCUAAUUAUUCCCAAAGUAGUAAUAUGAUGUCAGAAUAACUUAAAUUGUAGAAAAUUAUGUCAGUCUUUUUUCUUUAUAUACAUUAUAAAGUUGACAAAUAAUGAGCCUAAAGACCAACAUAGGAGUGACAGUCAGGCAUUCAGUGAAACCUGAGGCUAACUGUGUAGAAUGCAGCCCCAGAAUGAUGGUCUGUGUUUUUUAUAUUUAUGGUGACAAUGUAAUGUUGCAAGGGACAGCAUCUUGUUUGAGAGCAAUGCCAUUGUGAAAUGCUUGAAAAAUUAUUUUACUGACUUGAUAGUUCCUCCUAGACUUUUGCAAUGAAAAUGGCCUCAAUAGAACUUGUAGUUACUAACAAGACUUUUGCAAUGAAAAUGCUCUCAAAAUAUGGAUGGAUGGCAAUGAUAGGUGGAAUGAGAUAGACCUGUUCAUACAGGGACUGCUGACAUGUAUGUGCAGGCCUCAUAGUAAUGAUAGGUGGAAUGAGGUAGACAUGUUUAUAUUGACAUGUAUGUGCAGGCCUCCUGGUUCCUCUUGGAACUUUACUAAUUUUUGUUUCUUUAAUACUUUUGAAAUAAUUUUGUUAGUUUAAAUUAUUAGAGUAAUGUAAUACUUGAAAGAAUUGUCCAAAGUUGAAAAUGUAAAUAUUGUACAAAUUGUGCUAUUCCACUAAAAAUUAUUGUAAGUUGAAAAUUAUAAAUGUUUUCUAAGUUGAAAAUUUUGGUAGAGUUUUCAGUUUUGUAAAAAAAUAAUGUAUUGAUUAUUGAUUUGAAAAAAAAUGUAUUGAUUAUUGAUUUGAAAAUUGUAAAAUUUUUCUAAGUUGAAAAUUUUAGUAGAGUUUUCAGUUUUGUAAAAAAAAAAUGUAUUGAUUAUUGAUUUGAAAUUUUCUAUGUUGAAAAUUUUAGUAGAGUUUUCAGAUUUGUAAAAAAAAAAUGUAUUGAUUGUAAAAAUUUUCUAAGUUGAAAAUUUUGGUAGACUUUUCAGACUUGU
Molecule: long non-coding RNA, 2722 nt
Filed under: Portunus trituberculatus (swimming crab)
Lineage: Eukaryota; Metazoa; Arthropoda; Malacostraca; Decapoda; Portunidae
Description: uncharacterized LOC123503810, transcript variant X2
Source: RNAcentral